UACGUAGGCAGCGAGCGUUGUUCGGAGUUACUGGGCGUAAAGGGUGCGUAGGCGGUUUUCCAAGUUUGGUGUGAAAUCUCCCGGCUCAACUGGGAGGGUGCGCCGAAAACUGGAGGACUGGAGUACCGGAGAGGUAAGCGGAAUUCCUGGUGUAGCGGUGAAAUGCGUAGAGAUCAGGAGGAACACCUGUGGUGUAGACAGCUUACUGGACGGUGACUGACGCUGAGGCACGAAAGCGUGGGUAGCAAACAGG
This 253-nucleotide ribosomal RNA is filed under the name uncultured bacterium. Its description in RNAcentral is "partial 16S ribosomal RNA". It matches the Rfam family "Bacterial small subunit ribosomal RNA", at positions 524 to 776 of the family's 1533-position model. The record is from RNAcentral.